CACAUGUACAUGACAGGGGUUACAUUAGGGCCCUUUCCUGCCUGAGGAUCACACUGGACUUUGGGACCUGCAGUCACACAUAGGCAUGGAGGUUGAACACAUCACUGUGGCAGAACAUCUUUCAGUGGAACCUUGCUCAAUUCUGGGGCAAGUCCACGUUUUGUGAGACUGAAACUUAUACUUGGGAGACCCUCUUCAAAUAAAAGAGUAAAAACUUGCAAAUAGUAAAUUAGGUUCAGGCCCCUUGGAAGAGGUUCAUAUAAGUGAGGGGCCUGAAGCUUAUGCUUCACUGGGUUCCUGAUAAAUCCAUCUCUGCUUAGUUUCUCUAUUCCAGGCAACAGCUGGGCACAUGUUGACCAAUCGCUCUUAGACUCAAGGAAAAAGAGGUCAAAAUACACCAGAAUUGUCCUCUAAGUCAAUGGGUCUCAGAUGGUUAUAAAAAUAACUCUAAAAAUAGUUAUUUUUAAAGCAACUCUAGGUUAUAUUUAUUUUUUUGAAACUUACUAUCAUACAUUUUUCUUAAAAUAUGAAUUUUAGUUAAUUAUCUCCUAAAAUAUAAAUACAGGCCCCUUAUCAUUUUUAUGGUAAGAGGACAAGAAGUGGAUUAAAUAGACAAGGAUAAGAUAACACAAAUACACACAAGAGGUUAGACAUUUGGUUGCUCUUCAGGGAAGCAAAAGUGUGACACUUUUUUUUUAACAUUGAAAAAUAUUUGAUGAUGUCUAAAG
This 728-nucleotide long non-coding RNA is filed under the name Marmota monax (woodchuck). Lineage: Eukaryota; Metazoa; Chordata; Mammalia; Rodentia; Sciuridae. The record is from RNAcentral.